RNAcentral lists this long non-coding RNA (922 nucleotides) under Ovis aries (sheep). RNAcentral's name for it is "lncRNA (ENSOARG00000025418.1)". Lineage: Eukaryota; Metazoa; Chordata; Mammalia; Artiodactyla; Bovidae. The record is from RNAcentral.
AUGGGAAACCUGAACUGCUGUUCUGGAGGAUGUUUUGCCCAGAAGACCAGAAGAAACAUCCCUCAGAGAUCAAGAACUUCCACUACCAGCUGGGUCAGGAGGUUUCGUAGUUGGCCACGAAACAGGCUGCACCCUAUAACUGACACAGUUGAAGAGCUCCCUGAGGACCAGCUGGAGGAGCUGUCCAAUUCAAAGUUGGAGGAAGAGGCUUUGCCCACCUCUGUGGCAUGCAGAGCAGCCUGCGCACAUGGUCCCCAGAAGGUCCUGGUGGUGGGAGUGCCCCAGGCCUCGGCUGAGGAACAGCCUCUGUGGACCCUGAAGACUUACGGAGCAGCAUAUGAACACGCUCCCCAGGAGGACCUGGUGGUGAAACGGCGUGAGGCCUGGGCCGAGAAACAGCCUAUGAGGACUCCGAAGGAAUCCGGAGCAGUCUAUGAACAUGGUUUCACUGAGGACCUGCCAGUCAAUUCAGCUUGUGACAGGACCGAAGAGACUCCGUGUGUCUCCAAGGUGGCCCUUUCAGGAUGUGAAAGUGACUGCUUCCUGGAAAGUAUUAGCAGCAGUGACGAGGAAGAGACUGCAGACUCUCCACAUGACUGUUGCCCUCAGAAACCGGAAAACUUCAUGGACAAUACUGAAGAAUUGGAGCAGGAUAACAAGAAUAUGGAGAUGUCAAAAAGCUCUCUGGUCAUCUUCUUGAAGAGUGCUUUUGGGAAUAUCAUCAGUAAUGAUGAAGAAGACCUGGAAGAGCAAGUGUGAACGUGGGACCUGGGGUGAAAAGGCUCUGCUCUGAAUCCAUGAAGACCCUGACCUGAAUGUCAUCCUGGACCCCAGAGGGGAUGGAGCCCCCAUAGCACCAGAAGCCUCAUCUGGACCAGAUCAAGGGAGGCCUCACUGCUUCUUUCCUGAGGGUCCUCAUUUA